Molecule: ribosomal RNA, 332 nt
Filed under: uncultured Actinomycetes bacterium
Lineage: Bacteria; Bacillati; Actinomycetota; Actinomycetes
Description: bacterial SSU rRNA
Rfam family: Bacterial small subunit ribosomal RNA
Source: RNAcentral
GACGAACGCUGGCGGCGUGCUUAACACAUGCAAGUCGAACGAGAAAAGCACCUUCGGGUGUGAGUACAGUGGCGAACGGGUGAGUAACACGUGGGCAACCUGCCCUGGAGACUGGGAUAACGUUCCGAAAGGGACGCUAAUACCGGAUGACGCGCGAUCUGCCAAGUAGGUCGCGCCAAAUGGUAGCUUCGGCUUCUACUCUGGGAUGGGCCCGCGCCGGAUUAGCUUGUUGGUGAGGUAACGGCUCACCAAGGCGACGAUCCGUAGCUGGUCUGAGAGGACGAACGGUCACACUGGAACUGAGACACGGUCCAGACUCCUACGGGAGGCAG